Molecule: long non-coding RNA, 1017 nt
Organism: Amphiprion ocellaris (clown anemonefish)
Lineage: Eukaryota; Metazoa; Chordata; Actinopteri; Pomacentridae
Source: Ensembl
GGAGAAGCUACUUGAUUUGUCUAAUACAGAUGUCUACAGAUGUCUCAAAACUAAUCAGUUCAAAUUACUUUGUAGAAUGUGAGCCUGAUUGCAUUUGUGCAAUUCAAUUGCAUCAAUUGCAUUUCACCUGUACAAAGGUUCUGACUAAUGCGGCUGCAGAGGUUUCCUUAACAGUGGCUAAUUCGAACACCUGUUGUACUAUGUCAAUCAGCUCAUUGAGGUUUCGAGGGAAUGUGCUGAUGUUGUCUGCCAGGUGAGGAAGGUGCUUGCGUCCACCUUGAAACCAAGGAUUAAAUUCAUCCAUAUUUAUCCAAAAAUGUCACCGAGAUAGUCCCGUUUUAUCAUAAACUGUUUAUGUUUAUGUUUUUAAGUUUAUGUAAAUGCUUCUUCAAAAACAUCCAAAUAUCGUCUCUGACGUCAAAGACUUGCCACAACACCUCACUUCACAAGAACCACCGAGUCUUGGUGUGAAACAGCACAGCUGAAUGUUCAGCUCACAUCUCUUCACAAAGACGGUCUCUGGUUUUGUUCCGUUGAAAUGAACCACACUCCAAAACCUUGUUUAGUUCAGCGCUAAAGCUAAGCUACUCUGCUUCGAUGCUUUUGCUCCUCGUAUCACACCAUCUUUCCACUGUGCAUUUAGUGAAAUGUUCCAGGUUAGUGCCUUUCUUCCUUUUCCCUAAUAUAGUUUGUGCACCAUUCAUGCAAACUCCCACGCAUUUCCCCAGUUUCAGCCCACAUUCUGCUAGGUAUCAACCAAGAAGUCUCAAGAGCUUGUCGUACUUGGAAAACAGCAAAUUCUCUCACCAUAAAUAUGAUGUGACAAAGUGAACCAAAGCUUUUGUGGCCUAGUGUAAGGAUAAAUAUUUGUCUUUCAGUUCUUUGUAGAUUCUUUUCCCCAAGUCAUUUGAAAUGUUGUAAAUAUGUGUAGUGAUUUUACCUGUAGUCACUGCGAGGUGGCAGUUAGGUCGGCUUAGUCUGACACGUGGGUCUUCAAAUUAAAAGUGUCUCUACUCG